AUUCAUUAGGUCCUAAUCUAUAGAUUUCACAUGACUGAGAAUACAGAUAUGCAUCUGUUGUUCACAGAUACCUUACAAAAAAGGUAGAGGCAUGGAUCAUAAAACCAGUCAGGUUUGGUUUGACCAUCAUUUGCCAUAUGCAGCAUGACACAUCUCCUUCACAUAGAGUGAUCCGGAUGUUGAUUGUGGCGUGUGAAAUGUUGUCCCACUCCUUUUCAAUGACUGUGAGAAGUUGCUGGGUAUUGGCGGGAACUGGAACACGUUGUCGUACACAUCGAUGCAGAUCGUCCCAAAAAUGCUCAAUGGGUGACAUGUCUGAUGAGUAUGCAGGCCAUGGAAGAGUUGGGACAUUUUGAGCUUCCAGGAAUUGUGUAUAGAUCCUUGUGACAUGCGGCUGAACAUUAUCAUGCUGAAACAUGAGGUGAUGGCGGCGGAUGAAUGGCACGACAAUGGACCUCACAGCAUCUCUGUGCACUCAAAUUGCCACCGAUAAAAUGCAAUUGUGUUCAUUGUCCAUAGAUUAUGUUUGCACAUAACAUAACAACACCGCCCCCAUGGUACACUCUGUUCACAACAUUGACACCAGCAAACCGCUAGCCAACACGAUGUCAUACACGCUGUCUGCCAGCUGCCUUGUACAGUUGAAACCGGGAUGCAUCGGUGAAGAGCACACUUCUCCAGCGUGCCAGUGACCAUUGAAGUUUUGAGGAUGGACAACACAGGUCUACACAGAUGUAGCCAACAGCGCAAUACAGGCCUAGAAGAGGAUUCUUUGUCACAUAAAGAUAAUGCAGAGCUCUCUCUGUUCUGUGUCUGCCAGGGCUCCAUGGCUGUCUCCCAUUGGCACCCUAUUAUCUAUAUAG
This 863-nucleotide long non-coding RNA is filed under the name Salmo salar (Atlantic salmon). RNAcentral describes it as "lncRNA (ENSSSAG00000121406.1)". The record is from RNAcentral. Lineage: Eukaryota; Metazoa; Chordata; Actinopteri; Salmoniformes; Salmonidae.